RNAcentral lists this ribosomal RNA (303 nucleotides) under Triticum aestivum (bread wheat). RNAcentral describes it as "partial small subunit ribosomal RNA". Lineage: Eukaryota; Viridiplantae; Streptophyta; Magnoliopsida; Poales; Poaceae. The record is from RNAcentral.
AUGUUACCGUCUUGUUACAAAAUCAUAUUGCUUUUGCCAACUAAUUCUUAUGCAGCUAAGCAAAGGAUGGAAAUUAUAUGUGAGUACAGCAUAUACAUUUCAUCUGGUGGAGCCAACAUAGCAGUGGUUUCCACUUUUAUACUUGCACUUGUUUUAAAAUUAAUCAGAAGGGCAUUCGUUAGAAGAUGUGCUUGUCUUGAUUUCACUCUUUUCAUCCGAUGUGUUUCUGCAUGCCGAAACGUGGCAACUUUUUUGCAUCCGUCAAAAUUAGCAUGUCCCCAAAAGCCUCCUCAACCGUGGUGA